CCACCACUCGGUCGACUGCUGUAGAGUCCUCCGCCUGUGCUGCAUAGACUCUGCCACUCGGAGCCUGCUGUCGCCGCUCACCCUGUCGCGGCAUGGAUGAUCUAUCCUCCUGGCGGUAACUCGGUGCUGCUCUGUAAGUCUGCUGAGGUGCUGGUGGAGCUGAAGCUGACGAUGGUGCUGGAGAUGCUGCUCGAGGACAAGCUGCCCUCAUGUGUCCAGGCUGACCACAUCCGUAGCACCGGCCCUCCCUCUGCUCGCACUGUCUGGGCCAGUGUGGUCCUCCGCAGAUCACACACUGCGGCGUCCUCUCUGGCUAUCCCCUCUGACGAGAGUCCCUGGAUCGCUGACGCCCCGAGAACCCACGACCCUGAGAACGCGAUCG
This 382-nucleotide long non-coding RNA is filed under the name Ananas comosus (pineapple). Its description in RNAcentral is "long non-coding RNA (ACOM_LNC024388)". Lineage: Eukaryota; Viridiplantae; Streptophyta; Magnoliopsida; Poales; Bromeliaceae. The record is from RNAcentral.